RNAcentral lists this small nuclear RNA (271 nucleotides) under Rattus norvegicus (Norway rat). RNAcentral describes it as "7SK RNA". It matches the Rfam family "7SK RNA". From Rfam's summary of the family: 7SK was discovered as an abundant small nuclear RNA in the mid-70s but a possible function has only recently been suggested. Two independent studies have found that 7SK RNA binds the CDK9/cyclin T complex (known as elongation factor P-TEFb). P-TEFb activates transcription by phosphorylating the C-terminal domain of RNA polymerase II. Lineage: Eukaryota; Metazoa; Chordata; Mammalia; Rodentia; Muridae. The record is from Rfam by way of RNAcentral.
GGACAUGAAAGUGGUCUGACUGUGACAUCUGUUGAUCACCGGGAUUAACUUGGCUGAUCUGAUUGGCUAGGCUGGUGUCUCCUCCCCACCUCACUGCUCCACUCAAGCCCCUUCCAAAGCUCCAAGUUAGAUUGGUGGAAGAGGACCAUCAGUCUUAAGCCAAGGGUAUGUAGAGUAGCCACACUCUCCUGCUAGAACCUUCAAAUAAGCUCUCAAGAAGGUCUUCAGGCACGUCUUAUUUGCCUAUAAUUUUGCCUAUAAUUCCAGUACU